AAAUAAGAAGCAAUAAUUAUGCAUUUAAUUUCGACCUAAAAGAUGAGUUUUUUACUCCUUAUUUA
This 65-nucleotide transfer RNA is filed under the name Scopelodes kwangtungensis. RNAcentral's name for it is "tRNA-Arg". Lineage: Eukaryota; Metazoa; Arthropoda; Insecta; Lepidoptera; Limacodidae. The record is from RNAcentral.